UAAAAAGAAACAAAAUCUGGCUUGCAA
This 27-nucleotide small RNA is filed under the name Bombyx mori (domestic silkworm). RNAcentral's name for it is "ovarian small RNA-18002". The record is from RNAcentral. Lineage: Eukaryota; Metazoa; Arthropoda; Insecta; Lepidoptera; Bombycidae.